This is a long non-coding RNA of Eriocheir sinensis (Chinese mitten crab), 1462 nucleotides long. RefSeq lists it as uncharacterized. Lineage: Eukaryota; Metazoa; Arthropoda; Malacostraca; Decapoda; Varunidae. The transcript is spliced from 3 exons. The record is from RefSeq and is a predicted model, not a curated record.
CAGUGCAAUCCUCAUCUCUGUAUUUUACCGUGUGGACAUACUCUUUCCUUCCAUGUUCCACUGUCGUUUGUUAUUCCACAUCUAACACAACCACAUCCCAACAGAUCCGAACACGUCCGAUAUCAUCCAAGAGAAUGUGGCAGCUGAAGGGGGAGAGGCCAAGGGUGAAGACAUUUAGCCACCCCCUGAAGUACAUGGCAUCAUUCAACCCUCUUGGUGAGCUGCAGGAAUGUGCUUCCCAUUGCAGUGCACCAGCUCCAUGUACUGAUUUUGGUGUGAACUUGAUGGGGUUGGAGGAAACUCGACUUGGCCAUCAAGCUCACCACAAUAUAACAUGAAAAGUGAAAAUUGCUGCACACAACAGUCUGUCGUCUGCACUGGGAGGCAAGGCAGCUCAAAGCCCAGGCUGUUACAAAUCCUGGGCAGUUUUUGCCCAGAGCCAGCAAUUUUUUAGAUCCAAUAGGGAUGGAUUUUUUCUGAGGUCAGGUUCAACAUGCUGCAAGAUGCCAAGAUCUAAGCCUAGUAGGAGAUAUGGGUUACAAGAGAGGAGGUUUGCUCUGGCCUUAUACUUUCAAAGUCCAAAUGCUAAUAGAUUUCUGAGCACAGUAUUUCACUUGUCUUCAGUUUCAACACUUCACUCAUGACUCAGGGGUAUUUCAGUACAUGUUGGCUGGAGCAAACAGACUCUGACAGCCCUGCAGCAAAGAGCACAGGCUUUGUCAAAAGAAGAGAAACUUUGUGGGAUUUGCCAUUAUUUAGUAUUACUCUUGUUACGCCAAGAAUAUUUUUCCAUAUACUUUGCCAAAUAUUGCAAGUAAUGCACCAUUGUUGGGCUCGCUUGUUAUAAAUCAGAUCUUGUUCAAUUAACAAGCUUUGGGUGUCUGCCACUUUCCAGUUGUAAUGCAAGGAAUCAUUUAUCUUCCCUGCUAGAUAUCACACGUAAUGCACCAUUGUUGGUUUUGCCUGUUAUAAAUCAGAUCUUGUUCAGUUAAAAAGCUUUAGGUGUCUGCCACUUUCCAAUUGUAAUGCAAGGAAUCCCCUGCCAGAUAUCGCAUGUAAUGCACUAUUGUUGGUUUUGCCUAUUAUAAAUCAGAUCUUGUUCAGCUCACAAGCUUUGAAUAUCUACCAUUGUUUAUUUUAGGUGUAAUGCUUGGAAGCAUUUGUUCUCUUCCCUACCCAACAGUAUGCAAUAUUUUAUUGUGGAUUUUGCCUGUUAUAUUUAAUCUUGUUCAGGUAACAAGCUUUUGGUGUCUGCCUUACCUAAUAUGUCCUGCAGUGACACUUGGCUUGGUUUCAUAAUGUGAAAUACAGCAUGUAAUUUCAUCACACUAAGUGUCUAUCAUCACGUGUCUGGCAUCAUUAAUGUGGCUUCCAGGAGUAAUCUUGUUUGUAUUACAGCUUGCAAAUUUUUUUCUGCUUUAUUUGAUAUACAUAAUCACAUAGGUAUGAUUUACAAAAUGUA